This is a long non-coding RNA of Oncorhynchus keta (chum salmon), 3434 nucleotides long. RefSeq lists it as uncharacterized. NCBI's taxonomy places the organism in Eukaryota, Metazoa, Chordata, Actinopteri, Salmoniformes, Salmonidae. The record is from RefSeq and is a predicted model, not a curated record. The transcript has 2 exons.
CACUGUACCAAUCUAUUAUGUACUUAGCCAAAUACAGAAGUAAACAUUGAAGGUAUAGGUUACAUACUGCUGCUGAUUAAGAAUAGCAUACUCUGUUGAUCUCUUCUUGGAAGUGGAUUUCAUGGUGGCCAUUUUGUGACACAAAUGCUGUCUUUCACCUUUGCACCGUGGGGAGAGGAAUGUCGCCCGGUGCCGUUGCAUGUCUCCAGGCGAUAAUUACCGCAGAAAUAUAUUCACGCCGUGGAUCCCUUAGUCUGUUUUAGAUCAUGCCAUGGUGCUAGAGGCUAAAGUGUUUGAACAAGCAUGUGAGACAUGCCACAAACCUCGCAACUGGCCACAGAAAAUGUCCAGUUUGGUGCGUCAAAAAACAUGGAUAUAAUUAAUGGCACAUUAAAGCACAUAAACAUAGACAAAACUCAGACAAACGUCUGUCUAAAGUACAGAUCAUUACUCGUUGAGGCAAAGGUCUUCAGGUUUUGAAGUGUGGUCAGUUCAGUACUUUCAAAAUAUUGCACUUAUGCCACUAUAGGGCCAACCCGGACUGUACUGUGCUGGUUCUUUUACAGCUUGUCCUGGCUUGGCUCGGUUUGACCCUAUAGUUUUAUUUUGAACCAGAAAAUGAAAGAUAGCUCAGGGAGUAUAUCAAAACCUUUCUUGCCAUUUGGUACCUACUGAACAAGACACUGGUUUGCAAUGCCCCAACUGUGGUAAUCGUUUUCGAUAGGUCUUUCUUGGCUGCAUUAAGCAUCCUACACUGCUGAGGGAGCGUCUUCAUUCACUGAAAUGUUCUUCAUUUUACCAUCAAACAUGUAUGAACCUGUUCAUUGGAACGAUAGCUUUGACAUGUGCUCAUAGCUCAUGUUAACUACUGUCCUACAGGCAAUUAUCAAAGAAACAAUGAUAGAUGAUCAUUCACAAGCAUACUAUAUAUGACAUAUCUAUUUUAUAGCCAGAUUAGAUUCCGUAGAAGAUCUGCCAGGUCUACAUGGGUUUCUGAGCUCUCACUUAAACACCAUUAUUACCCAAGUGUCCCUGUUGUGAAAUCUGUAGUCAGCACAUUGUGUGUUGACAUGCAUAGACAGUGAACUGUUGACAGAAAUCCCCGCACGGCUAUGCUAACACACAGUAUCGAUACGAUAAGCUUUCUCAUGAUCUUAGCACUACCCACAUUUGUCUACAUAUGUCUACUCCAAGGCUUUUGUUUUGACAUUUGAGAGCGUUGAAAACAAAGUGCCCAGACCCACUCCACAGAAAGGCUGUAUAAAGAUUAAGUAUUUUUUUGGUGCACUUCACAGAACAUCACAGCAUGCCACACUUGCCUGGAUCAAAAUCUGUAUGUACAAAAUAAUCGCCAAUGUAGUUCAUGAUUAAUGGUGAUGUGAUUCAAUUAACGGGUAAUCCUCCCAUGUGUUGUUUUCUGUGAAUGGAAGUGCGUCCGCUCACUCUGCUGCGCAGAAGUACCGCCGCUCAGAAGAAAUGCCAUGCUGCGCAGAGAUGCAUGACGGGGCAUGUUCAGUAGCAAGCGGUAAAUUGCCCCGUUGGCAGCAAAUGGCAGGAUGUUCGAUUGUGCAUCAAGAAUUCAGCAUAGAAAGUUUGUAUGAAGAUACCUUGUAACUGGAGAUUCUUUCAAAACGAUUGCCUACAGUUACGGUGUAGGGCACUGCAAGGUUGGGUGACCAGAGCCUGGAGGAAUUCAGGUGUGUGAAGGCUACCUGUGUCCUGCAUAACUUCAUGAGAAUGGACACGAGGACCAGGAUGGGAUCUGCAGCUUGCCGCCGUGUGUCAGAGGAAUAGUCUGCUGCUCUGCAGGAUGUUUCAAGGAUGGGGUCCAACAACGCAGCAAGAGAGGCAAUCCUUGUGCAGGAGAUCUUCACCUCCUACCUCUUUGAAGAAAAUGUUAUGGGAUUCACACCAUUGGUUUUGUUGGUAGUCUCUUUUGGCUACUGUCUAAAACUGUAAGGGUACAAUGUCAGCGUUCACUGUAAAUGCGUGCCGGAAGUUGCACAAAAUGAUCAUAAUGUUCAAAUUUCUGCUCACAAGACUUAAAAUUUGCUCAGUGCCCCACAAAAAGUAGAGGGAACAUUGCUUGGGGGCUAGGUUUGUUUGCAUUUUAAUAGAUGUCAUUCCAAUGCCAUUUCAAUCCACUAAGGUGAAACAGCCUGAUACAAUAGGAGAACAUGUCCCUUUCAGUCAGCUCUUUUGAACGUGUGUGACUUCCUAACUAGAUGUUUGAUGGUUAUCAAUCACCAACCAUCUACCUUAAUGUUCCAGUUUUGCUAAUAGGCUAGUUACUGGUUGGUAUAUCUGGUUGGCAUAGGGUGCCUUCGGAAAGUAUUCAGACCCCUUGACUGUUUUACACAUUUUGUAAAAUUACAGCCUUAUUCUAAAAUACAAAAUAAAAUUAAGAAAUGUCAGCAAUCUACAUACAAUACUCCAUAAUGACGAAGCGAAAAUACUUUUUUUUUAAAGAAAUUUUGCAAAUGUGUUAAAAAUAAAAACAGAAAUAUCCUAUUUACAUAAGUAUUCAGACCCUUUGCUAUGAGACUCGAAAUUGAGCUCAAGUGCAUCCUGUUUGCAUUGAUCAUCCUUGAGCUGUUUCUCCAACAUGAUUGGAGUCUGCCUUUGGUAAAUUCAAUUGAUUGGACAUGAUUUGGAAAGGUACACACCUAUAUAUAUUUCAUACAUUUUAGAAUAAGGCUGUCACGUAAAAAUGGGGGUCUGGAUACUUUCUGAAGGCACUGUAUCUGCCCUGCUCUGUACAUUAGACAUUAGUCCUUAGUGAAAAAUAUUGAGGUUGAAAAUAUAACUGUGUAUUCCACUAAAAUGCUAAAUGCUUAAAUUUGAAUAAGUAAAGGCUAACACAGUAAAUGCUAACAUUUUAGCCAGAAUGCUACCGACAAUAGCCCUUUUCUGACCACAAACAGGUCCCUCAGCCAACCAGUUAGUUAUGGGAAUCUAUCCUCCUACUGUUUUCACUGGUGGGCUUUAGAGGAAUUCCUGCCACGUGACAACGCUAGCCAAGAUUCAGAGAUUUCCCAUGCCUUUUUUCUCCUUCAGUCAUCACCAGCAAAUGGCUACUGUCAGCUACUAAUCUGUGCUUAUGCCAGAAUUACUUUUAUUUGUACAAACAUUUACUCUGCUACAGACGGGAAGACUUCCGGCACCAUUUGAAAAACCCCCAUAUCCACAGAGAAUGAGCAGCAUUCUUCAUUCUUUCGUCAGGCAAUAGAAGGCUUCCUUUUUCAGAGUAACACUAAGGGAAUAUCUUAGUGUGAUUUCUGACAUCCCAUUCUGGCUAUUCUUUUGGGAUAGUCUGAAGACACUAACAAGAGAUGUUUCAAAGAGAUCAUUUAAAUGAGGAAAUACAGUGAAAGCUGAGAGAGCUACUUUCAAAUGUUUUUCACCAACAUUAAAUAAACUUCUACAAGGUUCAA